GAUGAAGAACGCAGUGAAAUGCGAUAAGUAAUGUGAAUUGCAGAAUUCAGUGAAUCAUCGAAUCUUUGAACGCACAUUGCGCCCCUUGGUAUUCCGGGGGGCAUGCCUGUUCGAGCGUCAUUAUAACCCUCAAGCCUAGCUUGGUGUUGGAGCAUGCUAUCUAGCAGCUCUUAAAAUCAGUGGCAGUGCCCUUCGGCUCUAAGCGUAGUAACUUCUCUCGCUAUGGAAACCGGAUGGUACGCGCCAAAACCCCCAACUUUCUAUGGUUGACCUCGGAUCAGGUAGGGAUACCCGCUGAACUUAAGCAUAUCAAUAAGCGGAGGA
Molecule: unclassified non-coding RNA, 324 nt
Filed under: soil metagenome
Description: partial contains 5.8S ribosomal RNA, internal transcribed spacer 2, and large subunit ribosomal RNA
Rfam family: 5.8S ribosomal RNA (bases 1-120)
Source: RNAcentral